GUGGGGAAUCUUGCGCAAUGGGCGAAAGCCUGACGCAGCCAUGCCGCGUGAAUGAUGAAGGUCUUAGGAUUGUAAAAUUCUUUCACCGGGGACGAUAAUGACGGUACCCGGAGAAGAAGCUCCGGCUAACUUCGUGCCAGCAGCCGCGGUAAUACGAAGGGGGCUAGCGUUGCUCGGAAUUACUGGGCGUAAAGGGCGCGUAGGCGGACAGCUUAGUCAGAGGUGAAAGCCCAGGGCUCAACCUUGGAAUUGCCUUUGAUGCUGGCUGUCUUGAGUUUGGGAGAGGUGAGUGGAACUCCGAGUGUAGAGGUGAAAUUCGUAGAUAUUCGGAAGAACACCAGUGGCGAAGGCGACUCACUGGCCCAAUACUGACGCUGAGGCGCGAAAGCGUGGGGAGCAAACAGGAUUAGAAACCCUUGUAGUCC
This 425-nucleotide ribosomal RNA is filed under the name uncultured bacterium. RNAcentral describes it as "partial 16S ribosomal RNA". It matches the Rfam family "Bacterial small subunit ribosomal RNA", at positions 354 to 796 of the family's 1533-position model. The record is from RNAcentral.